ACGAACGCUGGCGGCGUGCUUAACACAUGCAAGUCGAACGAAGAGCGAUGGAAGCUUGCUUCUAUCAAUCUUAGUGGCGAACGGGUGAGUAACGCGUAAUCAACCUGCCCUUCAGAGGGGGACAACAGUUGGAAACGACUGCUAAUACCGCAUACGAUCUAAUCUCGGCAUCGAGGAUAGAUGAAAGGUGGCCUCUACAUGUAAGCUAUCACUGAAGGAGGGGAUUGCGUCUGAUUAGCUAGUUGGAGGGGUAACGGCCCACCAAGGCGAUGAUCAGUAGCCGGUCUGAGAGGAUGAACGGCCACAUUGGGACUGAGACACGGCCCAGACUCCUACGGGAGGCAGCAGUGGGGAAUCUUCCGCAAUAGACGAAAGUCUGACGGAGCAACGCCGCGUGAGUGAUGACGGCCUUCGGGUUGUAAAGCUCUGUUAAUCGGGACGAAAGGCCUUCUUGCGAAUAGUGAGAAGGAUUGACGGUACCGGAAUAGAAAGCCACGGCUAACUACGUG
RNAcentral lists this ribosomal RNA (509 nucleotides) under uncultured bacterium. RNAcentral describes it as "partial 16S ribosomal RNA". It matches the Rfam family "Bacterial small subunit ribosomal RNA", at positions 29 to 507 of the family's 1533-position model. The record is from RNAcentral.